This 254-nucleotide ribosomal RNA is filed under the name uncultured bacterium. RNAcentral's name for it is "partial 16S ribosomal RNA". It matches the Rfam family "Bacterial small subunit ribosomal RNA", at positions 524 to 777 of the family's 1533-position model. The record is from RNAcentral.
UACGAAGGGGGCUAGCGUUGCUCGGAAUCACUGGGCGUAAAGCGCACGUAGGCGGAUCUUUAAGUCAGGGGUGAAAUCCCGGAGCUCAACUCCGGAACUGCCUUUGAUACUGAGGGUCUCGAGUUCGGGAGAGGUGAGUGGAACUGCGAGUGUAGAGGUGAAAUUCGUAGAUAUUCGCAAGAACACCAGUGGCGAAGGCGGCUCACUGGCCCGAUACUGACGCUGAGGUGCGAAAGCGUGGGGAGCAAACAGGG